AAAAGAGACAACAAGAAGCUAAUUGCUGGGAGAAGAGGAGAGACUCAGGUGGGCCAGAGGGAAAGAACAUAGCCAGGACUGAAUUCAGCCAGCCUUUGGAAUGGGAAGAUUGGGCAAAGUACGGAGCUCCAGGUGAGAGGCUAUUACCAGCGGAGCCAAGACAGUGAUCUCUGCAGACUGUCAGAUGUCUCUAAAGAAAGCUGCCCAGGAAGUUCAUGCUGAGAUAUGACAAUGCCCACAGCCUGAAGACAACAGCAGACAUGUGAGCCACUGGUGACCUUCGCUCCUGACUCCUUCCACAUGUUAUAUGUUAUGCAAAUAUCAUUGUAACCUAGAGAUUCAGUUUCAGUUUCUUGUGUACAUAUAAAAAUGCUGAACCCUGGAAGUAAACUACGAAGCCUUGAUUGUG
Molecule: long non-coding RNA, 409 nt
Organism: Mastomys coucha (southern multimammate mouse)
Lineage: Eukaryota; Metazoa; Chordata; Mammalia; Rodentia; Muridae
Exons: 3
Source: RefSeq, a predicted model, not a curated record